UUACUUUGUCAACAUAUAAUAUCAUGCCUAUAAUUACAAUCAUGGAAUUCCACUCUAUGGUGCCUGAAAAUUAUAAGGUUCCUUGUAUCAAUAACUAUUUUAAAUUCUGAGCGUAGCGAAGGAGCUAAUAGUUUUACUUUGAUUUAUUUUUUAUUUUUUUUCUAGUUUGGACACGUUUUUUCCUAGUGAACUUGUAGCAUGUAACAAUGUAACUUUACCUGUAGCAUCUUUUCUAAAAGCUCAAGAUGGUACUUUAGAGAGGUCAUUUUUUGAUUUUCGACACCAUUUUUUAAAUAAAAGCACUUGAGUGGAA
This is a non-coding RNA of Cinara cedri, 313 nucleotides long. The record is from the annotation of a GenBank genome assembly. NCBI's taxonomy places the organism in Eukaryota, Metazoa, Arthropoda, Insecta, Hemiptera, Aphididae.